UCCAUAUUUCCUUCAAAUCAUAUAUUUCCCUUUUCAUAAAUUUAUUUAAUUACAAAACAGUGAUAUUUUCUCUACAGAUUGGUGCAUAAAAUUAUUCUCAAAUAUUCACUCUGAUUUUUUUAUCCAUUCAGCAAUUUAAAACCAAAAACAAUAAAUUCAGAAUCUUAUAUAGUUUCUUUGAUUCCUCCAAAUAAAACGCACAAAAUCUUCGUUCCCUUUCAUCUCUUUUUCAGAGACUUCAAAAAUUAUUCAUAGGUACUCGUAGUUUUUUCGGUGUACUCGAUAUGUACACAAUAUCAUGAAGAAAUUGAUCUUUAUUGUUCGGGUUUGUCGGGUUUGAUUUGUUAGACAAUGAUUUGGAACUAUUUUCUCGCAUACAUCCUAUAUUAAGUGUAUAUUCUUUGUUGUUAGCACAACGCUUGCAAAUGUAUAUGAUUUAUUGUUAGUUCAUUGGUCUCAUUAUAUGGGUUCAUGUUCGUACGUAUAUAAUUUGCUGUUAGAUUGUUCUAUGUACUCAGGUUUGUUUUUCUUUGCUGUUAAUUAGCAUAUAGUAUUUGUAUAUGAGUUUAUUGUCUAUGAGAUUGUAAUAUGCAUGAGUCGAACAGUCAGUAUAAGCCUAGCGAUUUAAGGAAAAAUUGGAGAUUAAAAAAAAAUUAGCAUCUAUAUUACUAUAAAGAAGACCUUGCUUCUCUCCUAGAGUGUCCACAUGGGAUGCCAUGUCACAAAUUCGAGUAACCUUGCUGUGACAUCUGUCCCCUCCAAAAACGCAACGUUUCAGUAAUACAGUAACUUCAUGGGCUUCACUUGCGUGAUGCGUGUUUGGGCUUUGGUGUUUUAUUUUGUUUCUGGCCCGAUAGAGUGUUCGUCCUCUCUAACCCUAAUUUUGCUGCAGAUGAGAAACGAGCGUCCUCUUCAUUUAUCAUGCGACGCCGACCACAUGUCGUUUCCGCUUCUUCGCAUUGAUUGAAACGGUCUUAGUAAAUGCUUUGUGAUCAAUCCGAAUGGUUCUCUCCCCCCACUAUGUCAUCUUCAAUGCUUUUCCGAUCUGAAAGGCGGUGGUGUUUGGGUAUAAAUAUGGGCCAGGAACGUUUGAUGCGGUGGUAAACUCAGGGAGUGAAUAUGCUCUUAUUGGAUUGACAGGUACAUUUCGGCCGCUGCACACUACUUCUUCUUACGCCUCUUAAACGGUGUCUCAUGUAGCUGCAUCGGCGGUUUGCGUAUGCACUACCCAAUGUCAGCUGGAGAGAAGAAAAUCCAAGAGAGCCAUGUUGAAGCAGAUCACAUCGACAUUAUAGCUUUUGCCAAAUCUGCACGUAAUACUCUUAAGUCCUAUAUCAUACACAAAUUUAGAGACAUAAAAAGAGAAACAGGUGUAUGUUCCUAGAUUACCCAAGAAAGAAGGCUACAUGUACAAUUUUAUUCUGCAAAAGCUUCUUUAGGUGGUGGAUAUGAUGCACAGUCUGAACAAACUUCAGGAAAGUUGUCUUUAAGAAAACACUGAAGCUAAAUGCAAAGAGGAAAAACUAAUUGUGGCCAAAAUCAGCAUUGACUAAGUACACAACUCCUAGGAUUGGAUUGUAAUGAAGUAGCAUCUAUUUUGUAAAUAUGAAAUCACUCAGUUGUUAUGUGAUUUUAGUGUAGAAAGAUAUGAAAUAAACAAACGUAACCGCAACUAAGAAUUAUUUU
Raphanus sativus (radish) is the source of this 1686-nucleotide long non-coding RNA. RefSeq lists it as uncharacterized. The transcript is spliced from 5 exons. Lineage: Eukaryota; Viridiplantae; Streptophyta; Magnoliopsida; Brassicales; Brassicaceae. The record is from RefSeq and is a predicted model, not a curated record.